This 459-nucleotide ribosomal RNA is filed under the name uncultured bacterium. RNAcentral's name for it is "partial 16S ribosomal RNA". It matches the Rfam family "Bacterial small subunit ribosomal RNA", at positions 338 to 795 of the family's 1533-position model. The record is from RNAcentral.
CCUACGGGUGGCAGCAGUGAGGACUAUUGGUCAAUGGCCGGAAGGCUGAACCAGCCAAGCCGCUUGAGGGACGAAGGUGCCAAGCAUUGUAAACUUCUUUUGUCAAGGGACAAAAUCAGGCACGAGAGCCUGACCGAGGGUACUUGAAGAAAAAGCAUCGGCUAACUCCGUGCCAGCAGCCGCGGGAAUACGGAGGAUGCGAGCGUUAUCCGGAUUUAUUGGGGUUAACGGGUGCGUAGUCGGACCUUUAAUGCAGCGGUAAAAGCCCGGGGCUCAACCGCGGAGAGCCGUUGACACUGGCUGGCUUGAGAUGUCGAGAGGUAUGCGGAAUGCGAGGUGUAGCGGUGAAAUGCUUAGAUAUUGCGAAGAACUCCGAUUGCGAAGGCAGCAUACCGGCGGCGAGCUGACGCUGAGGCACGAAAGCGUGGGUAUCGAACAGGAUUAGAUACCCGAGUAGUC